RNAcentral lists this ribosomal RNA (253 nucleotides) under uncultured bacterium. RNAcentral describes it as "partial 16S ribosomal RNA". It matches the Rfam family "Bacterial small subunit ribosomal RNA", at positions 524 to 776 of the family's 1533-position model. The record is from RNAcentral.
UACGGGGGGGACAAGCGUUGUUCGGAAUUACUGGGCGUAAAGGGCUCGUAGGUGGCCAAUUAAGUCAGACGUGAAAUCCCCAGGCUCAACUUGGGAACUGCGUCUGAUACUGGUUGGCUUGAAUUCGGGAGAGGGAUGCAGAAUUCCAGGUGUAGCGGUGAAAUGCGUAGAUAUCUGGAGGAAUACCGGUGGCGAAGGCGGCAUCCUGGACCGAGAUUGACACUGAUGAGCGAAAGCCAGGGGAGCAAACGGG